This 84-nucleotide transfer RNA is filed under the name Dispira parvispora. It matches the Rfam family "tRNA". From Rfam's summary of the family: Transfer RNA (tRNA) molecules are approximately 80 nucleotides in length. Lineage: Eukaryota; Fungi; Kickxellomycota; Dimargaritomycetes; Dimargaritales; Dimargaritaceae. The record is from Rfam by way of RNAcentral.
CCGAGAAUAGCUCAGUUGGUAGAGCGGGAGACUGUAGUUAAGAAAGUUAUCUCUAGGUCCCUGGUUCAAAUCCGGGUUCUCGGA